GCAAUUUAGUACAUCAGCAUCCAAGUUAACAGGCUUUCAUUCUAGAGAGGUCCUGCCACAUAUCUCGGAGGAAGAAAUGCUACACAGAGAAACCAAGAAGAAUGUGAACAGACAGGUCUUGCUGAAUCUGCCUCCCCCUCAGUCUAUUACCCUUAGAGCAUACCCCCUUGUCCAGUCACAUUUCUACAUGGCUAUCUGUACUUCAUUAAAUUAUCAAAUCAGAAACUUUAGCAUAAAAAGUUUUCCCUGGGUUUUGUGGUUUUCAUUUCUGAAGUCUC
Molecule: long non-coding RNA, 278 nt
Filed under: Homo sapiens (human)
Lineage: Eukaryota; Metazoa; Chordata; Mammalia; Primates; Hominidae
Description: HSALNT0408450
Source: RNAcentral